GGGCGCAUGGUGUAGUUGGUUAUCACGCUCGCUUAGCAUUUUCAGAACAUGCGAGAGGUGUUGGGUUCAAUUCCCAAUGCGUCCA
Molecule: non-coding RNA, 85 nt
Organism: Mycena rosella
Lineage: Eukaryota; Fungi; Basidiomycota; Agaricomycetes; Agaricales; Mycenaceae
Source: the annotation of a GenBank genome assembly